UAUUGAAAUAUGGUUAGAUGGAUUGUUUGAAAACCAGGGUUUCAAUAUACAAUGGAUGGGGCGUGAAUGACGUCACUCUAAUUUCUGAAAAUCGAAUGGCAAAUCACUCCCUGAAAUUCGGUAAGAGACUGAGAGAGAAGAGGGUGGCGAUGGAGCUAAGCGGGUUAGACUCAGAUGGCAAAGUGUUCAAGAACGCAGAAGAUAUGUGGAGAGAACAAAUUGGCGAAGAAGGUGAACCCCACAAGAAGGCUCAGUGGUACCGGGAAGGAGUUUCAUAUUGGGAAGGCGUGGAGGCAUCGGAUGAUGGCGUGUUAGGUGGCUUUGGAAAGGUUAAUGAUGUUGAUAUAAAGGGCAGUGAAGCUUUUUUACAGAACCUUUUCUUCGAACGCUUUAACAACGCGGCCAGAACUGACCAUCUUGUUGCUCUUGAUUGUGGUUCUGGGAUUGGGAGAAUCACCAAGAAUCUGUUGAUAAGAUAUUUUAAUGAGGUUGAUCUUCUUGAGCCUGUGUCUCAUUUCUUAGAUGCUGCCCGUGAAAGUUUAGCUAACCAUGUGGCCUCUGAUACGCACAAGGCUGCUAAUUUUUUUUGUGUUCCUCUUCAGGAAUUUACACCAGAUGCUGGAAAAUAUGAUGUCAUAUGGAUUCAGUGGUGCAUUGGGCAUUUGACCGAUGAUGACCUUGUUUCAUUCUUUAAGAGAGCUAAGAAUGGGCUUAAACCUGGUGGAUUUUUUGUCCUGAAGGAGAAUAUUGCAAGAAGUGGUUGCAGGAUUUGUUUUGGACAAUGAAGAUCGAAGUAUUACGAGAUCUGAUUUAUACUUCAAGGAGCUUUUCAGUCGAUGUGGACUACACAUCUACAAAUCCAAGGAUCAGAAGGGAUUUCCUGAGGAGUUAUUCGCUGUGAAGAUGUAUGCUUUAACAAGUGAUAUGCCAAAAAAAGUGCACAAGACCAGAUCUAAAACACGAGCAAACAGGCCUGGCAUCAUCCCAUGAAGCUGUGCUAUUUGAACUUCUCAUUGCUGUCAAUGUUAUACAUCUUGCUAAUUGGGACAUCUUCACUAGUCAGUGAAUGCAAUUAGACCUUUAUCUUUUUGGAAGCUUUCAUCAUCAAAAGUCUUCCUAAAAUAUGCUAUUUCGGCACUAAUGUUUUUAGAUUUGGACUAGGUCUUGACCCAUUCAAAGGGUUGGUCUGUAGAUAGAUCAGUCCGAUUAGCUAGGCAGACUAGUGAUGACAGUAUGAUAUAAUUAAAAUUUUAAAAUAGGUUUUAAUCAUGUUGACAUUAGCAUGAUGGUCAGACUGGUCUGAUUCGAAGGUUGAAUUGCGGCUUGACAUGAUUCAUCUGGUUCAACCUCGAGGUACACUGGUCCAUAUUUGUAACACUGUUCGGCACAUGUCCUUAAUUUAUUUAGACAUGGGAUUGACCUUUUGGUAAGCUCUUUUUUACCUGUCAAGCUUGACACAAUCAAUUUGAAAUAUUUCUGGAUUAUGAUUCAA
RNA transcript from Mangifera indica (mango), 1492 nucleotides. It is a transcript of the gene named alpha N-terminal protein methyltransferase 1, with no coding region annotated. The transcript has 9 exons. The record is from RefSeq and is a predicted model, not a curated record. Lineage: Eukaryota; Viridiplantae; Streptophyta; Magnoliopsida; Sapindales; Anacardiaceae.